GAAAUGCGAUAAGUAAUGUGAAUUGCAGAAUUCCGUGAAUCAUCGAAUCUUUGAACGCACAUUGCGCCCUCUGGCAUUCCGGGGGGCAUGCCUGUUCGAGCGUCAUCUACACCCUCAAGCUCUGCUUGGUGUUGGGCGUCUGUCCCGCCCCCGCGCGUGGACUCGCCCCAAAUCCAUUGGCAGCGUUCCUUGCCCCCUCUCGCGCAGCACAUUGCGCUUCUCGAGGGCGGCUCCGGGACGCGAUCCAGCAAGAUGACCACCGUCUUUGACCUCGGAUCAGGUAGGGAUACCCGCUGAACUUAAGC
Molecule: unclassified non-coding RNA, 305 nt
Filed under: plant metagenome
Description: partial contains 5.8S ribosomal RNA, internal transcribed spacer 2, and large subunit ribosomal RNA
Rfam family: 5.8S ribosomal RNA (bases 1-105)
Source: RNAcentral